GGAAUGUGAAUCUCUGCUGCAUUAUGGUGCUUUAGAAAGAAAUAAGAAGGCACUUUUCAGCAACUACCUUAGUAUCUCCCUGGAGAAACCCAAGCUAUGACAGCAGGUACCAGAAUUGGCCCAAGAAAGUAGACCUUCCAAAUGGAUUUUGCAGCUGGAUCACCUGUGGGCAUAUGGGAAAUAACUGAGUCCUUUGGAGCUGAAAAUGAAAAACUGAGUAGCUGGUGGAAGAAGCGAGAUGGGUUUGGAACUCACAGGCUAUGUUUCUGGAUGCAUCACAUUUGCAAGAGGGAAGUUUUGGUGUCCCUGUGGGUAUAUUAGCACUCCUUUACUCCAUUUCUCUGUAGCUACUCAAGCAAGUGACAAGUAAGUAUGUUGAGACCACAUGUGACAUAUAAAUUACAAGUUCUCCUGCCCCUCUAAAAGUUUAUUCAGCAUCAACCUUUGCACCAACACACUAAGGCAUAAUAGCUGAUAAUUUAUGAGUGUAAUUUGAAGGAAGCAAUUCUGUUUUGUGAUUAUGGUAGUAAAUAAAAGAUUCAAAUCCUCAUUGACACACCAUGAAAUUCAGCUUUACUUUUUUUUUUUUAACCUUGAUAUUGUUUAUGGAAAGAAGGCUGCAGAGUCCAAGAAAGGUGACAGAUAUGAAGAAAUGCAGUGGUUGCAAAGGACAAAGACAAUGGCAACACAAAUAAAAGAAAUUAUGAGAAGGAAAUAAAUAUUAAAAAAAAAACCCAAACGUUUGUUGAUGUAAACUGAAAAUAAAUUUGGAAUGAGCUGUGUGCACUUGGAAAUGAGAAGCUCUGUCCUGCACCAUGAAGGGCUUUGUGUGCAUCCAUGGGUUGCUUCUGCAUGCAGAAUGAGACUGGAACAAAAAAGAACCAUUUAAAACACAGGAUCCAGGUGAUUCAGGAUUUUAAAUUGAAGAUUGAUCAUACAAGCUGGAAGACGUCCCAUGACACUUUAUUUGAAAUUGGAACAUCAGAAUUUGGUUGGGUCUAUCUUUUACUAACUCUGUACCAUGAAAAAAUUAUUUAAUAUUUCUGAACUGUGUAAAGAAUAAAAUUAGAUUAUGAAUUCAA
Molecule: long non-coding RNA, 1082 nt
Filed under: Homo sapiens (human)
Lineage: Eukaryota; Metazoa; Chordata; Mammalia; Primates; Hominidae
Description: HSALNT0312546
Source: RNAcentral